RNAcentral lists this long non-coding RNA (212 nucleotides) under Solanum tuberosum (potato). Its description in RNAcentral is "long non-coding RNA (STUB_LNC007975)". The record is from RNAcentral. Lineage: Eukaryota; Viridiplantae; Streptophyta; Magnoliopsida; Solanales; Solanaceae.
GCUUUUAACUAGACUUGUUGGAAUUUUUGAGGUCUUCCUCAAAUAUUCUGUCCCAGUUAGAACUUUUGCUAAAUCUCAAAAUGUCCCAAUUUUUAUUACAAAGAGAAAAGAAAAUCACACUAGAUAUAUGACCGAACCGUUGUGACGCCUACAUAUCCUACUGAGUCAUAAAUCAGGUCAAAUGUAGUUUCAAUCCUGUAGAUGAUGAAUAC